UCCUAGGGGAGGCAGCAGUGGGGAAUCUUGCNNNNNNACAAUGGGGGCAGUGCGUGAUCUCGCAAUGCCGCGUGUGUGACAUGAAGGCCUUCGUGUUGUAAAUCUCUUUUGUCCGAAGAGAAGAUAAUUGUCCUGUUUAAUACCUGGGGCCGAUAAUGACGGUUCCGGGCGAAUAAGCGCCGGCUAACUUCGUGCCCAUCAGCCGCGGUAAUAUUUAUGGUGCGAGCGUUAAUCGGAAUUACUGGGCGUAUAGCGUGCGCAGGCGGUUUUUUAAGUCUGAUGUGUGAUCCCGGGGCUGAACCUGGGAAUUGCAUUUGAGACUGCCAGUGGGCUUGAGUACGUGUCAGAGGGGGGUUGAAUUCCAUUCGUGUAGCAGUGAAAUGCGUAGAUAUGGGGAGGAGCCCCGGUGGUGAAGGUGACCCCCCUGGGCCGUGACUGACGCUCAUGCAUUGAAUAGCGUGGGGUGCCCACAGGAUUAGAUCCCCUGGUAGUCCACGCCCAUAAACGAUGUCAACUAGUUGUUGGGUGUUCUUUUCCUUCAUUAACGUUGCUGACUAACGUGUACGUCUGACCGCCUCUGGAGU
RNAcentral lists this ribosomal RNA (584 nucleotides) under uncultured Ralstonia sp. RNAcentral's name for it is "bacterial SSU rRNA". It matches the Rfam family "Bacterial small subunit ribosomal RNA", at positions 337 to 881 of the family's 1533-position model. Lineage: Bacteria; Pseudomonadati; Pseudomonadota; Betaproteobacteria; Burkholderiales; Burkholderiaceae. The record is from RNAcentral.